This 1297-nucleotide ribosomal RNA is filed under the name metagenome. RNAcentral's name for it is "SSU rRNA". It matches the Rfam family "Eukaryotic small subunit ribosomal RNA", at positions 493 to 1783 of the family's 1831-position model. The record is from RNAcentral.
UUUUUGGGCUUGGUAAUUGGAAUGAGGGAGAGUUAAACGGACCAUCGAGUAUCCAUUGGAGGGCAAGUCUGGUGCCAGCAGCUGCGGUAAUACCAGCUCCAAUAGCGUAUAUUAAAGUUGUUGCAGUUAAAAAGCUCGUAGUUGGACUUGUGUGCGCUGUCCGCGGGUGGCCUGCGCCCAAAAGGGCGUUUCGGUUCGGCCCCGGUGGCGCCUUGAAAUCUGCAGCUGGGGGGACGUUGGCCUUAACUGGUCGGCGACCGCACGCCGGCUGCUCGGUUACUGUGAGAAAAUUAGAGUGUUCAAGGCAGGCAUUGGGUGCAAUUGAAUACAUUAGCAUGGAAUAAUAAAAUAUGGCUCCUGCCGUAUUUUGUUGGUUUUGACUGGUGGGAGUAAUGAUUGAUAGGGACGGUUGGGGGUGCUAGUAUUGAGCGGCCAGAGGUGAAAUUCAUGGAUUCGCUCAAGACUAACUUAUGCGAAAGCAUUCACCAAGGACGUCCUCUUUAAUCAAGAACGAAAGUUGGGGGAUCGAAGACGAUCAGAUACCGUCGUAGUCUCAACCAUAAACUAUGUCGACUUGGGAUCGGCGGUAGUUUUUUCAUUAAGACACUGUCGGGACCACGGGAGAAAUCAAAGUGUCUGGACUCUGGGGGAAGUAUGGUCGCAAGGCUGAAACUUGAAGGAAUUGACGGAAGGGCACCACCAGGAGUGGAGCCUGCGGCUUAAUUUGACCCAACACGGGGAAACUUACCAGGUCCAGAGAUGUAGAGGAUUGACAGAUCGAAGCUCUUUCUUGAUCACUUCGGUGGUGGUGCAUGGCCGUUCUUAGUUGGUGGAGUGAUUUGUCUGGUUAAUUCCGUUAACGAACGAGACCUCAGCCUGCUAGUGUAGUCGGCUGGAUUGCCUUUGGCGAUCCGUGAUUUCGACUUCUUAGAGGGACAAUCGACGCGCAGUCGAUGGAAGUUUGAGGCAAUAACAGGUCUGUGAUGCCCUUAGAUGUUCUGGGCCGCACGCGCGCUACACUGCUGGGCUCAGCGAGUUUUACUUGGCCGAGAGGCCCGGUUAAUCUUGUGAAAUCCCAGCGUGCUUGGGCUCGCCUCCUGCAACUGGAGGCGCCAACGAGGAAUUCCUAGUAGACGCAGGUCAUCAACCUGCAUCGAUUACGUCCCUGCCCUUUGUACACACCGCCCGUCGUUCCAUAAGAGUGAGGCAUCCGGUGAAUUCUCGGGAGAGCCUGGGCGUGGCCAGCAAUGGUCUGCUCGGGUUUGAACUUGCAUAAACUUGGUGCCUAUGAUUAGGG